This 534-nucleotide ribosomal RNA is filed under the name uncultured bacterium. RNAcentral's name for it is "bacterial SSU rRNA". It matches the Rfam family "Bacterial small subunit ribosomal RNA", at positions 777 to 1307 of the family's 1533-position model. The record is from RNAcentral.
AAUAGAUACCCGGGUAGUCCAUGCCGUAAACGUUGGGCACUAGGUGUGGGGCUCAUUCCACGAGUUCCGUGCCGCAGCAAACGCAUUAAGUGCCCCGCCUGGGGAGUACGGCCGCAAGGCUAAAACUCAAAGGAAUUGACGGGGGGCCCGCACAAGCGGCGGAGCAUGCGGAUUAAUUCGAUGCAACGCGAAGAACCUUACCAAGGCUUGACAUGCACGGGAAGCCACCAGAGAUGGUGGUCUCUUUGGACACUCGUGCACAGGUGGUGCAUGGUUGUCGUCAGCUCGUGUCGUGAGAUGUUGGGUUAAGUCCCGCAACGAGCGCAACCCUCGUCCCAUGUUGCCAGCGGGUUAUGCCGGGGACUCAUGGGAGACUGCCGGGGUCAACGUCGGAGGAAGGUGGGGAUGACGUCAAAUCAUCAUGCCCCUUAUGUCUUGGGCUUCACGCAUGCUACAAUGGCCGGUACAAAGGGCUGCGAUACCGUAAGGUGGAGCGAAUCCUAAAAAGCCGGUCUCAGUUCGGAUUGGGGUCUG